RNAcentral lists this ribosomal RNA (362 nucleotides) under Wohlfahrtia magnifica. RNAcentral's name for it is "partial large subunit ribosomal RNA". The record is from RNAcentral. Lineage: Eukaryota; Metazoa; Arthropoda; Insecta; Diptera; Sarcophagidae.
CUGAGUUUUUAAAUGGCCGCAGUAUACUAACUGUGCAAAGGUAGCAUAAUCAUUAGUCUUUUAAUUGAAGGCUGGUAUGAAUGGUUGGACGAGAUACUAACUGUUUCAUAAAAAUUUAUAAUAGAAUUUUAUUUUUUAGUCAAAAAGCUAAAAUAUAUUUAAAAGACGAGAAGACCCUAUAAAUCUUUAUAUUUAAAUUAUUAUAAUUUUGAAGAUUUAUUUUGUUGUAAUAAUUAAUAAUAUUUUAUUGGGGUGAUAUUAAAAUUUAAUAAACUUUUAAUUUUAAAAUUCAUUAAUUUAUGAAUAAUUGAUCCAUUAAUAGUGAUUAAAAGAAUAAGUUACUUUAGGGAUAACAGCGUAAA